AAGGACGUUUUUCUACCUAGAUUUUAAAUUUUCUAUCAACCAGUAACUGGUGCCAGAGAGAUGGAGGCCAAAGACCUCACAGGAUUUAGUGACCUGCAGACCCGGUUGCACCCUUCGAAGACCAAGCAAAAAGACGGCCACUUAAUGAACCAGGAAGUGGGUGUUCAUCAGACACAGACCUACCAGUGCCUUAAUUUUGAACUUUUCAUGCUCUACAAUGAAAUUACCACCAUCGAACCUUCAGCAACAACCACUGAGGCAAGACCCUCCAGAAGCAAAAUACAACAACUCACUGAAGGCUCAAUUAUUGUUGGCAUAUUUUACUAAUAAAGCAUGUUUUAAUUAAGAUAUGUACAUUGUUUUUGUACACCUAAUGCGAUUGCAAACCUAAUACACCAAAGUAUAGUGUAAAUAUAACUUUUAUGUGCACUGAAAACCAACCAAAAAGUGUGGCUUACUUUAUUGCAAUAUUUACUUUACUGUGGUAGUCUGGAACCAAACUUGCAAUAUCAGAGAACAUCGUUAUAUGUAUGCUACUGGUUCUGUUUCUUUAGAGAACCCUGACUAAUACAGUUAUAAAAGAAAGAAAAGACUGAAGAACUCUUCUAGAUUGAAGAAAAAUGAAGAGAAAUCACAUUCAAAUACAAGAAUGACUCUAUGUG
This is a long non-coding RNA of Callithrix jacchus (white-tufted-ear marmoset), 662 nucleotides long. NCBI's taxonomy places the organism in Eukaryota, Metazoa, Chordata, Mammalia, Primates, Cebidae. The record is from Ensembl.